UGGGGAAUUUUCCGCAAUGGGAGAAAGCCUGACGGAGCAAUGCCGCGUGGAGGUGGAAGGCCUACGGGUCGUCAACUUCUUUUCUCGGAGAAGAAACAAUGACGGUAUCUGAGGAAUAAGCAUCGGCUAACUCUGUGCCAG
RNAcentral lists this ribosomal RNA (141 nucleotides) under uncultured bacterium. RNAcentral describes it as "partial 16S rRNA". It matches the Rfam family "Bacterial small subunit ribosomal RNA", at positions 355 to 511 of the family's 1533-position model. The record is from RNAcentral.